GUGCUCUCUUCCGUAGCACAUAUACUAAAAUUAGAAUGAUACGGAGAAGAUUAGCAUGAUCCCUUCACAAGGAUGACAUGCAAAUUUGUGAAGUGGUCCAUAUUUUU
Cavia aperea (Brazilian guinea pig) is the source of this 107-nucleotide small nuclear RNA. Lineage: Eukaryota; Metazoa; Chordata; Mammalia; Rodentia; Caviidae. The record is from Ensembl.